CCCGAGUGUAGAGGGGAAAAUUCUUAGCUAUUUGGGGGAGCACCCGGUGGCGAAGGCGGCUCACUGGCCCUGAUAUUGACGCUGAGGGGCGAAAAGCGUGGGGAGCAAACAGGAUUAGAGACCCUCGUAGUCCACACCGUAAACGAUGAGUGCUAUCUGUUGGGUGGUUUACCAUUCAGUGGCGCAGCUAACGCAUUAAGCACUCCGCCUGGGGAGUACGGUCGCAAGAUUAAAACUCAAAGGAAUUGACGGGGGCCCGCACAAGCGGUGGAGCACGUGGUUUAAUUCGAUGCAACGCGCAGAGCCUUACCAGCCCUUGACAUGUAUAGGACGAUAUCAGAGAUGGUAUUUUCUUUUCGGAGACCUUUACACAGGUGCUGCAUGGCAGUCGUCAGCUCGUGUCGUGAGAUGUUGGGUUAAGUCCCGCAACGAGCGCACCCCCUGCCUCUAGUUGCCAU
This 458-nucleotide ribosomal RNA is filed under the name Candidatus Liberibacter asiaticus. RNAcentral's name for it is "bacterial SSU rRNA". It matches the Rfam family "Bacterial small subunit ribosomal RNA", at positions 668 to 1121 of the family's 1533-position model. Lineage: Bacteria; Pseudomonadati; Pseudomonadota; Alphaproteobacteria; Hyphomicrobiales; Rhizobiaceae. The record is from RNAcentral.